CCUCCCCGCCAGCCACCACCCUCGACCUGUGCCUCCGCCGCCGGACCGCCGCGCCCCCGCUCCAGGCGCUCGGGCCGCCCCGUCCACGCGCCGCCCGGGCCGCCGCGCCCUCCCUGCCUUUCCUCACGCUUCCUCCCCCCGCCGCCGCCGCUCCCUCUUCCGCGGGUCGCCGUGCUCCCUCUCUGUAGCCACGGCCACUCGCUCCACCAGACGCUCGAUGCCCAUGUGGCGCUGCUGUCGCACGCGGCGGCAAAGGGUUCCACGGCGGAGACAUGGAAGAAGGAUGGCGGGGGUGGGGCCAUUGCCAUAGAUGAGCGCAGCCCCGAGCAGAUCCGAUUAGGAUCCUUCUCUCCAUCUCACUCUCUUUGUGCCUUCUCCCCUCCCUGCUCUCCCGUCUCUCUCAAUCUGCAGCAAGGCGUCGCGGGCUCGCGGCUGUGACGGGGCGGCGUAAGGGCCUGCGGCGGCGGUAGACGAUCCAGAUUGAGAAGGUCACAUGAGUUUGCCAGCAGCACCCAUCUGUGUAUGCUCAAUUACCUAUCAGUAAAGAUAUACAUAUCAUUUGGUGGAAUAUCUGAGGAGCAAUCGUAUCACAAGGAUGCACAUGCAGAACAAGCCCGGUUGUCAAAGGUUCAAAUACUGUGUACUUAAUGAGUUGUAUUUUGUGAAUCCUUAUUACUGUGUUUCAUGAAUCUAGACAAUGAUAAUACUAAUCCAGACUUUGUCGGUAUGGAUGAUGUUGUAGCCGCAAUUGAGCCUCCACCUCCUAUGUUUUUUGAAGGGCUUGGGAAUGACACUAAUAAAGUGGAUGUGCAAGCUCAAACCAACGAGGUUACGAUGUGAUUAAUUUCUUAGAAGUUCAUAUAUGUUCUGCUUCGUGUCAUCUUUAGUGCUUCAAGGGCAAACGGCUAGAUUCAAUUUGGAGCAUCGCGGGAAGGAGCAGGCAGCAGCGCCAAUACACUGAGGGUGGAGCAGCAGAGUCACCUGAUCUACCAGUAUGUCUGAUUGAUGCUGCCCACUGCUCCAUCAGCUUGCAUCCAGCAUCUCUAAAUUAGCAUUAUGUCAGGUUCUCGAUAUAUUUGCAAUGGAUUAAACAAUGGGCCUCUCUUGAUUCACACAUGUUCACAUUUCAAGCUAUUUGAUGCUUGCGAAGCUUUACCACUAAUCCACAUCUUCUUUGCUCAAGUAAUUCAAGGCUGUGCAAUGUGAGAUAAUCAUGUAUGGUGUUACCGAAUGGGCUGGAAAGUUUCUAAAUUAUGAGCUCUGCAUGAUUAAGCGGCGUCGGGACCUGUACUUCAUUUAUUGCAGAGCAAGAAAGGAACAUCAAAGAAGCUGUUAAAAUGGAUGGGAGAAUUUGCUAAAACAUGUUUACCUAUUUUUUUAAAUAUUAAGUGUAUUCUAGAAAGAAAAUAAUUGUAUGUUUCAUGGAGUAACAAAUCAGGAACUGUGCAGGUAUGUGUUCAUCUUGAUGGGAGUUUGUCCGAGAUGCUGGGCGAGGGGAUUGUUUCCGCACUGCAUGUAUCCAAGUGUUUAGGGAUGCCUUUUGCGAACAAAUUUAGUUUUUUUUGAGCGAGCAAAUUGAUACUUUUUUUAUGAAUGUAUUCGAGUGGGUGAAAUACUCCCCAUUUGUCUCAGAGAGGUCCUGGUGUGGAAGCUUAGCACUGGGUUUGUCAUUAUUGAGGCAAGAAUAGCUUGAAUAGUUUGCAGUGCGUAAUGCAUCAUGUGUAGAAAAAGAUAGUUAUAUUUGUAUAGAGUAAAUUACAAGGUUUGAGGUAUUUGAAAAAAAAUACUUUGUUGUUUCA
Long non-coding RNA from Triticum dicoccoides, 1799 nucleotides. RefSeq lists it as uncharacterized. The record is from RefSeq and is a predicted model, not a curated record. The transcript is spliced from 5 exons. Lineage: Eukaryota; Viridiplantae; Streptophyta; Magnoliopsida; Poales; Poaceae.